UAAUAGGUCCUUUCCUUUGAUUAACCAUAAUCAUACCCAGAAAUCUUCUUUUGAGUACUAAUAUCGCUUUACCUUUUUUUUUUUUUUUUUUUGGUAUUGUCCAGGUGUUCCUUCUACUUGUGUUUAUCCUGCAUCUUCAAGGUUUACCUUUUUCUUUUCCUUUUAUUUUUUUCUAAGAGAAGAAAAAAAAGUUUACAACUUUACUCUUUGAUAUCAUUUUCCCAUCUGAGAAAUUAAAUUUCUUGCCAUGUGCUUAAAGCUUAGAUUCUCAGUUCUUUCUAGAAAAAUUUGUAGUUAGUCCACAAAGUUCAAUUUUUCUUUUGAUGGGGAAUUUAUAAACUGAUGAAUCUGAUUCCCUUCUCCCUCUUAGUGUCUUACUUCACUCACCCAUUGCUUGUUUUGUUUUGCUUAGCUGGUCUAAGGUAGGUAAAGGAUCUAGCUUUCUACGAACUUGUGCCAAAAUUAUUAAAACCCCAUGUAGAUUUGAAGAGGGUUUUCUUGCAAAAGCAGUAGCAGCUAUAAUUAUAGCAUUCACGGUGUUUCUUAAAAGCUUAACUUAAUCAAGUGUACUUUUGGACAGUGGUUAGGAACAGUAGAUCUAUUAUCUUACACUAAUUGAAGUAAAUAUCUUGUAUUGAUUAUCUUUGUAUUAGUUCAGGGGCCUGUAUCUUCCUUACAGAUGUGAGCUGUCUUGAUGUUGAUAUUUCAUGAGUUGUUUGUCCUCUUUCUUGUCCAUUUUUCCUUUUUAUGAUUCUUGAGCUCAGGUUGACAUCUGUUUCCACAAUCUCAUGUUUUGAUUCCAUAUCUUAUAAUUUCACAUUGUGUAAUUGAUUUGUAUGUCUAUAAAAAAUUAAAGUGCUUUGAAGAGAUUGUGAGAAUACUUUUUCUUUUUAAAUUCUUGUUGACUGUCCGAUUAAAAUAUCUGAAAUUCGCUCAUUUUUUACUCGGUUCGACUAAUGCUGCGGGUUUUUGUUCUCUCUUCUAUUACAGCACUGCCGGCACAGGCACCACAACCCCAAGCACAGGCACCGGCACAGGCACAGGCACCGGCACAGGGACAGGCACAGGGACAGGGACAGGGACAGGCACAGGGACUGGGACAGGCACAGGCACAAGCACAGGGACUGGGACAGGCACAACAAGUGUGACUCCAUUUGGAGGGCUGGGUCCU
Molecule: long non-coding RNA, 1171 nt
Filed under: Jatropha curcas
Lineage: Eukaryota; Viridiplantae; Streptophyta; Magnoliopsida; Malpighiales; Euphorbiaceae
Description: long non-coding RNA (JCUR_LNC000860)
Source: RNAcentral